Molecule: long non-coding RNA, 228 nt
Filed under: Elaeis guineensis (African oil palm)
Lineage: Eukaryota; Viridiplantae; Streptophyta; Magnoliopsida; Arecales; Arecaceae
Description: long non-coding RNA (EGUI_LNC038706)
Source: RNAcentral
CCUAGUCAAUAUCCUAUCAAAAAUCAUAGUAGGUUUGUUGUGAUAUCCACAAGACUUGCUAUGAAGAUUGAUGUUAAUUUGUCUUGGUACAUAUUAGAUGCUUUACGGCAUAUUUUGAAUAGGUUGUUUUGUUGUGAUAUCCACAAGGACAGCAUUUUUCAGAUAUAGCUAUAUGAAAAUGAAGAGUUUGACUUAACUACAAAAUACUAUAGUUUGUUGUGAUAUCCA